UUCCUACGGGGCGCAGCAGUAAGGGAUAUUGGUCAAUGGGGGAAACCCUGAACCAGCAACGCCGCGUGAGGGAAGAAGGCCUUGGGGUCGUAAAGCUGUGUUGCGGGGGAAAAAAGGCAGCAUCAGGAAAUGGGUGCUGACUGAUGGUGCCCCGCCAGAAAGUCACGGCUAACUACGUGCCAGCAGCCGCGGUAAUACGUAGGUGGCGAGCGUUAUCCGGAAUGAUUGGGCGUAAAGCGCUCGUAGGCGGUAUGUCAAGUCAAGGGUGAAAUCCCCGCGCUCAACGUGGGAACUGCCUUUGAAAC
Molecule: ribosomal RNA, 305 nt
Filed under: uncultured bacterium
Lineage: Bacteria
Description: bacterial SSU rRNA
Rfam family: Bacterial small subunit ribosomal RNA
Source: RNAcentral